This 362-nucleotide ribosomal RNA is filed under the name uncultured bacterium. RNAcentral describes it as "bacterial SSU rRNA". It matches the Rfam family "Bacterial small subunit ribosomal RNA", at positions 29 to 416 of the family's 1533-position model. The record is from RNAcentral.
AACGAACGCUGGCGGCAUGCCUAACACAUGCAAGUCGAACGAAGCCUUCGGGCUUAGUGGCGCACGGGUGCGUAACGCGUGGGAAUCUGCCCUUGGGUUCGGAAUAACAGUUAGAAAUGACUGCUAAUAUCGAAUGAUGUCUUCGGACAAAGAUUUAUCCGCCCAAAGGAUGAGCCCGCGUCGGAUUAGCUAGUUGGUGAGGUAAAGGCUCACCAAGGCGACGAUCCGUAGCUGGUCUGAGAGGAUGAUCAGCCACACUGGGACUGAGACACGGCCCAGACUCCUACGGGAGGCAGCAGUGGGGAAUAUUGGACAAUGGGACGAAAGCCUGAUCCAGCAAUGCCGCGUGAGUGAUGAAGGCC